GUAACCUAUGCCUUUCUCCAUCAGUUAGCUCUUACGUAACAAACCAAUCCAAAAUUUAGCAGCACAAGCAAUAAAGAUAUAUUAUUGUUUUUAGACAAACCAUAACCAGCCUAUAGUUUGUCUACGAAGUGCUGAAGAUCUGAGCCAGGCUUAGCUAAUCUUGGGUGAGCUCACUCAAGUUUCUGCCUUAUUGGUUGGGACGACGGGAUAACUAGGUCUCUCAGUAUAGAUCAGGCUUGUUCAUAUAGUAGCAGGAGAGUUCAAGAAAGUGGAAGUAUGCAAGGUCUCUUGAGGCCUAGGCUCAGAACUGGCACCAUCAACCAUUACUUCUCUGCAUUUUAUAGGCCAAAGUAUGUUACAGGACCAAUUUUGAUUAUAGUAAUGAAGAAAUAAACUCCAAGUCUUAAUGUGUGGAAUAUCCAAUUCAUAUUCCAAAGGACAAGGAUAUUUUAAAAAGAUAAAUUGAUUCUCUUUUAAAAAGUAAAUCAUGAGAUAAAUAAUGGAGAGGACCUAAGCCCAUUUCCAAGCUCUGAAGAGUGAAAGAAAUCUUUUAUAGAUAAACUGAUUUUUUUAAGUAAAUCAUGAAAUAAAUAAUGGAGAGAGAAGACCAUUUUCAAGCACUGAGGAGUGAAAGAACUGCCUGCAGUUUGCCCUGACACAAUGAACUAGAACAUAGAGGUUCAGAAUAUAAGAGAUACUCUUGGAAAAAGGCAAGUAUGAAAACUACUAUUUAUUUUCAAAGGUCAGAUUGGGGUUAC
Callithrix jacchus (white-tufted-ear marmoset) is the source of this 758-nucleotide long non-coding RNA. RefSeq lists it as uncharacterized. Lineage: Eukaryota; Metazoa; Chordata; Mammalia; Primates; Cebidae. The record is from RefSeq and is a predicted model, not a curated record.